GGCUUAGAGUUUGAUCCUGGCUCAGAUUGAACGCUGGCGGCAGGCCUAACACAUGCAAGUCGAGCGGAUGAAAGGAGCUUGCUCCUGGAUUCAGCGGCGGACGGGUGAGUAAUGCCUAGGAAUCUGCCUGGUAGUGGGGGACAACGUUUCGAAAGGAACGCUAAUACCGCAUACGUCCUACGGGAGAAAGCAGGGGACCUUCGGGCCUUGCGCUAUCAGAUGAGCCUAGGUCGGAUUAGCUAGUUGGUGAGGUAAUGGCUCACCAAGGCGACGAUCCGUAACUGGUCUGAGAGGAUGAUCAGUCACACUGGAACUGAGACACGGUCCAGACUCCUACGGGAGGCAGCAGUGGGGAAUAUUGGACAAUGGGCGAAAGCCUGAUCCAGCCAUGCCGCGUGUGUGAAGAAGGUCUUCGGAUUGUAAAGCACUUUAAGUUGGGAGGAAGGGUUGUAGAUUAAUACUCUGCAAUUUUGACGUUACCGACAGAAUAAGCACCGGCUAACUCUGUGCCAGCAGCCGCGGUAAUACAGAGGGUGCAAGCGUUAAUUGGAAUUACUGGGCGUAAAGCGCGGGUAGGUGGUUUGUUAAGUUGGAUGUGAAAUCCCCGGGCUCAACCUGGGAACUGCAUCCAAAACUGGCAAGUUAGAGUAUGGUAGAGGGUGGUGGAAUUUCCUGUGUAGCGGUGAAAUGCGUAGAUAUAGGAAGGAACACCAGUGGCGAAGGCGACCACCUGGACUGAUACUGACA
RNAcentral lists this ribosomal RNA (747 nucleotides) under uncultured bacterium. RNAcentral describes it as "bacterial SSU rRNA". It matches the Rfam family "Bacterial small subunit ribosomal RNA", at positions 1 to 745 of the family's 1533-position model. The record is from RNAcentral.